GAUGAACGCUGGCGGCGUGCUUAACACAUGCAAGUCGAACGAUGAACCCGGAGCUUGCUCCGGUGGAUUAGUGGCGAACGGGUGAGUAACACGUGAGUAACCUGCCCUUGACUCUGGGAUAACUGCGGGAAACUGUAGCUAAUACCGGAUACGACCCUCGGCGGCAUCGCCAGGGGGUGGAAAGAAUUUCGGUCAAGGAUGGACUCGCGGCCUAUCAGCUAGUUGGUGAGGUAACGGCUCACCAAGGCGACGACGGGUAGCCGGCCUGAGAGGGUGACGGGCCACUCUGGGACGGAGACACGGCCCAGACUCCUACGGGGGGCAGGAGUGGGAAAUAUUGCACAAGGGGCGCAAGCCGGAUGCAGCAACGCCGCGGGAGGGAUGACGGCCUUCGGGUUGUAAACCUCUUUUAGUAGGGAAGAAGCGAAAGGGACGGUACCUGCAGAAAAAGCACCGGCUAACUACGUGCCAGCCGCCGCGGUAA
Molecule: ribosomal RNA, 484 nt
Filed under: uncultured bacterium
Lineage: Bacteria
Description: partial 16S ribosomal RNA
Rfam family: Bacterial small subunit ribosomal RNA
Source: RNAcentral